Molecule: non-coding RNA, 790 nt
Organism: Phascolarctos cinereus (koala)
Lineage: Eukaryota; Metazoa; Chordata; Mammalia; Diprotodontia; Phascolarctidae
Source: RefSeq, a predicted model, not a curated record
AGCUGACAAAAGGUGAUUGGAGAUGAAACAUUACCCAGGGAAGUUCUCCUCUGAUAUUUCAUCAUGGCAUGGAGGUGACCCUCGUCUUUAACGGCUAUGUCAGUGGAAUAUAAGUGAACAUCUGCUCUGUGAGGAGGUGGGUAGCAUUCUCCACGAUGGCUUCUCUGGAAUCAUGGUUAACCAUUGUGAUGAUCGGCUGUCUAGUACGUUGUGAAGGAGCUAUGACCAGCAUCACCGGAGGGAGUGCCUUUUACCAGCAAAAUCACAAAUUCUUGAAGUAGGAAAGCAUCACCAUUACACCUUGUCUUUUGGAAAUAUCUUGCCUAUUGGGAACAAACAAUUUCAUUCUGGAAGCCCUUCUCCCAACCCAACAGCAAAUCACACAAGACCAAGAAGAAUGAGAUGUACGAUUAAGAAAAUACUGUGCACCAGAGAAUUUGAGAAAUGCACAUGCAGACAUUAAACUGUGGCAGCAUUAUCUAUUAAUAUCCCCUCGGCUUGCACAGGACUUCUAUUCAGCCACAGGGAGCUGUGACAGAGAAAUAAUAAGCUCCUCAAAGCAAGCACCUAGUUUAAGGAAGGCUUCAGCUUGGUUGGUUUCCUCGUGACUUCAGCUUCCUUAAAUUUCUGUCACUGGUACAAGCACAACACAUUCACUAUCAUGGGAAUGAUAGAAAUGACUUAAAGUGACUGCUAUCCAACCCAUAGUGCUCAACAUCUAAUCUAUGAGAAUUUAGAGCCCAUAGAGGAUUCAUUCAUCUCUCAUCUUUCUUUACUUUUUUUUUUUGGU